This 520-nucleotide ribosomal RNA is filed under the name Fusarium culmorum. Its description in RNAcentral is "eukaryotic LSU rRNA". The stretch from base 168 to 321 matches the Rfam family "5.8S ribosomal RNA". Lineage: Eukaryota; Fungi; Ascomycota; Sordariomycetes; Hypocreales; Nectriaceae. The record is from RNAcentral.
ACCAGCGGAGGGAUCAUUACCGAGUUUACAACUCCCAAACCCCUGUGAACAUACCUUAUGUUGCCUCGGCGGAUCAGCCCGCGCCCCGUAAAAAGGGACGGCCCGCCGCAGGAACCUUAAACUCUGUUUUUAGUGGAACUUCUGAGUAUAAAAAACAAAUAAAUCAAAACUUUCAACAACGGAUCUCUUGGUUCUGGCAUCGAUGAAGAACGCAGCAAAAUGCGAUAAGUAAUGUGAAUUGCAGAAUUCAGUGAAUCAUCGAAUCUUUGAACGCACAUUGCGCCCGCCAGUAUUCUGGCGGGCAUGCCUGUUCGAGCGUCAUUUCAACCCUCAAGCCCAGCUUGGUGUUGGGAGCUGCAGUCCUGCUGCACUCCCCAAAUACAUUGGCGGUCACGUCGAGCUUCCAUAGCGUAGUAAUUUACAUAUCGUUACUGGUAAUCGUCGCGGCCACGCCGUUAAACCCCAACUUCUGAAUGUUGACCUCGGAUCAGGUAGGAAUACCCGCUGAACUUAAGCAUAU